GUGCUUGUUUGGGAGCACAUAUACUAAAAUUGGAACCAUACCAGAGGUUAGCAUGGCCCCUGUGCAAGGAUGACACACAAAUUUGUGAAGCAUUCCAUACUUUU
Small nuclear RNA from Choloepus hoffmanni (Hoffmann's two-fingered sloth), 104 nucleotides. Lineage: Eukaryota; Metazoa; Chordata; Mammalia; Pilosa; Megalonychidae. The record is from Ensembl.